This 497-nucleotide ribosomal RNA is filed under the name uncultured bacterium. Its description in RNAcentral is "partial 16S ribosomal RNA". It matches the Rfam family "Bacterial small subunit ribosomal RNA", at positions 28 to 507 of the family's 1533-position model. The record is from RNAcentral.
GAUGAACGCUGGCGGCGUGCUUAACACAUGCAAGUCGAGCGAAAAGACGCGGACUUUGUUGGUUUGUCGUUUGCGGAGGACGGGUGAGUAACACGUGGGUACCGUACUUCACUGACUGGGAUACCUUCGGGAAACCGGAGAAUACACGGGAUAAUAUUUCGAUCCGUACGGUUCGAUAGAGAAAGUUGGCUUUGCUAUGACUUCUAGGUGGAUCUGCGUCGUAUUAGCUUGUUGGUCUGGUAACGGCUUACCAAGGAAACGAUCCGUAGCGGAGCUGAGAGGGUGAGCGGCCACGCUGGAACGGAGGCACGGUCCAGACUCGUGAGGGAGGCCACAGUAGGGAAGCAUGCGCAAUGGGCGAAAGCCUGACGAAGCAACGCAGCGUGAGGGAGGGAGGUCUUCGGAUCGUAGAACUCUGUUAUGAUGGAAGAUCAAUCGUGUAAGUAACUGGGCACGUCGUGACGGUACCUAAUCAGAAAGCCACGGCUAACUACGUG